Molecule: long non-coding RNA, 6007 nt
Organism: Felis catus (domestic cat)
Lineage: Eukaryota; Metazoa; Chordata; Mammalia; Carnivora; Felidae
Exons: 3
Source: RefSeq, a predicted model, not a curated record
UUUUCCAGUAUGUAGCAGAGGCAUGCUGAAUGUGUGUUAAUGAAUAAAUAAAUGUUUCCUUUAUAUCAUGAAGCCCAUUAGAUAAUAUUUUUUAUCCUCCAUGACUGAGAGCCUGAUGACGAAAAGGAUGGUGAUUUUGCCUCUAUUUCCUCAAUGCUUGAAGGCCCUAAUAAAUGUUCCUUGAGUAAAUGAUCGAAUGGUGUUUCUUCAUUAUGCACAGUGUUGUGUGGGUUCGUCUGUCUUUGCAACUGUGUGGCAUCUGUGGGCAGGGCUCGGAAUUGGUCGUUGUCACAGAGACUGUCAAUUUUUCCCACAUCGGUUUUCUCCUUCACAGAGCCUCUGAGUUUUAGCUGGGCACGUGGCUGCCUGAAUAAGAACAAUGUUUUCCUGCUUUCUUGAGGGGCGACUAGGAUCUGGCUGGAGAGAUACCAGUGCCGUGACCGGUGCAGCUCUCUCUUCCUCCCAUUCCUUCCUCCCACUGGCUGGCGUGCAAGAUGGACUGGGAAGACGUCUUUGCCAUGAGGAUGAAGAAGCCAAGUCUCCGGGAGGCUCAGUAGCUCACUGUGGUAAUCUGGCUCACAACAGAGAAAUCUCAGAGUCAGGAUUUACACCCAGGGAAGCUUGUCCAGAUGCCUGCUCUUCCAGCUACUUCAGGUGUGUUCCUUGCUUUCUAAAGUAUAUGGUCUGGGACAGUGAUGCAAAUUACCUUUAAUGAGGGGAGAAAAGGACAGGACCAGAUGAGCAGUAUCGAGGGAGGGACACCUUGGACAAGAGGAAAGCCAGAUAGAGAGCAUGUGGUCGGAGGUCAGGUUCUAAGAUGACCAAGGACAGGUGAAGCUAAUGGAGCAGUAUGUGGGUGGAGCUGAGUGGUGCAGGGUGUAGGCUGAGAAUAAGGCAGAAGACCAGGAGCUGCCUGCUAUCAAGUGUUAGCCACAGGGAUAAGGGAGAGACCACCUGGCUUGCAGAUGCCGGUAGGGGCCUGGGAUGGAGAGGGUCAGCAUUAGCACCUCUCUCUUAUAAUGAAAUAAGUUGCUUCCUACAGCUCCUCUCCUUGCAAACCUGUCCUGUAGGUUCCAGGAAGAAGCAGAAGGUCCUGGAGUGUGUGUGCACACACACACACACAUACACUCACGAGUAUCUCUUCCAACAAGGAGGAAAGAGGCCUAAGGGAUGGGCUAUGACUUCUCUGACAUAAAGCUUUCCCUCUCUAGCCCUGUCUUUGCAGCUCUCUCCCAGCUGCAGGGCUGAACAGUGAGGGGUGGUCCCUGCCAGACCAGCCAUCCUCUGCCACAAACCGACUCCAUUUAUUUUCAGAUUUUAUGUGCUUUAAAAUAGACUUGCUGGUAGGUACCCAAAUCCAGCAGACCUGAAAAAUGCUUACCAGGCAGAAAAAAACUGAAGGACACCGGCUUCCCUUACCGGACUCAGUGCUGCCCCUGCCCUCCCCCAAAACACAUCUUUAAGGUGCAGAGACCCCCCAAAAUUUUCCCAAUCAUUUCCCCAAUCACUCCAAUUCCUGUGAGCACUCCAUAAAAAGCUGAUAGGAAAGAAGAAUCCUAAUGGCCUGGUGAGAAAGAAAAUUCCAUUUUCAUCAUCCGGAUGGUGAAAUGGACCAGGUGCUCAUGGGUUGGAUUCACCAUGAGUUUGGAUUCACACUGCAGUUUGGAGACAGGGCGAGAUGAGAAUCCGGAGAGAGAGGCAGGGUGGCAGCCUAGCAUCCAUUUUCGUGGCCGCUGUGCUCUGUUCCUUUUCCCCACUGGCCCCUCAGAAGCUUCUUGCCCAGGAGACGCUGCCUCAGGGUGUUCACACCAGGGGAGGUCUCACCGCACCUGAUGUCACAGCCUGGACUUUACCUGUGCAUGUAACCAACAAGCAGUAGAGAGGCUUCGGACACUGCUGUGCCUUGGGAAUACUAAAGUAUAUACAAAUAAAUAAAACAUGGUCUCCUUCAAGGAGAGUCAAGAGAACACAAGGUGCUAUAGGUACACAUAGUAGGGGAACCUAAUUAAUACAUUUGGAGGUUAAGGAAGGCUCCCUCCCUGGAGAAGGUGACCUUGAGGUUGGGACUGGGAGGAAGACUAGGGGCUCAUAGUCAGGUGGCAGCAUGAUGAGCCAGGAAAGGAUGCUCCACGCAGAGGGAACGGCAUGUGGAACAUUACCAGAGGUAAGAAACAGCCACCUGUGUCUCUGAGACCACAGGUGCUUCAGCGUGACCAGAGUGGAAGAUGCCAGGGAGUGGUGGGCACAACCAGUGGAAGGCACAGCGGGUCCAGACGCUGGUCAGCCUGUAAGAAGGGCUUAAAGAGUUUGGACUUCACGGGGGGCAAACUUUGUUUGGUUCACUGCUGUAUCCCCUGCAGCUAGAUGGGUGAAUAGCACAGAGUAGAUGCUCAUCCAUAUUUGUGGUUGAAUAAGUGGUCAAAACAGAAAGAUUUUAAGCAGGGACAAGAUCUGAUGAGUUUUGCAUUUUAGAGUCAACACCUGGGCUGCCGUGCAGAGAAGAGAUUUCAGGGCAAUGAUGCUGAGGUGGGCAGCAGAGAAAUGACAGAGGCCAUAACCACUGAUGUCAGUGGCGGUGGAGACAAUGGGCCGGUAAAAUCCACAGGACUUGAUGAUCGGUCUACAGGUGGUGGUGGGAAGGAGGAGCCCAGAUGAAGGACAACAGGAGUUAACAUCCUCUGAGGGCCCCCGGCAAGGUGCAGACGACAGCCGCGAGGCAGGGCAGUCCCCAAGGGACAUCGGCCUCUGCUCAGCUGGGAGUCUGGGCUCGGUUGUGAUGUUUGGUUCUCUCAGCUGUGAAACAAAGAUACUACUCUUCACCUUGCAGGGAGAGAGAUCAGAGAUUCUGCAAAGCACGUAGCACAGUGCCUGACACGCAGUGGGUGUUCAGGGUAAAGCCUCCGGAUCACUUGAGCUGGACUCCGAAAGACAGGAGCCCUUCCAGACAGUGGGAUACCGGGUCAGGGGAGGACAUCCAGGUGGUGGGACUAGAGAGCACAGAACGUCCGUAGGAAAGCAUGAGGAGUGGGGAGUCAUUCAGCCCGACUGAAAUGCGGGCAAAUGUGCGCGAGAGGGAGGUGGCGAGGGCAAGUAGAGAAUAAGGAGGAUCUUCAUUGCCCUCUGCUUCUUCCUCCCCAUGCGGCUGUGCUUCCUCGGUGCAGCCUCUGACGUCUCGUCCAUCUUCCCACCUCCCGCCUUUUGCCUUGCAAUCCAGUCUCCACACCGCAGUGGGGGUUUGCACACAGUCUGGACUUAACAGUCCCUGAAGGUUUGGGGCAGGGGAAUGACUAGAUAGUCACCGUGGGUAAGUUGUGAGCCCCAGACAGCAACGUAUGGGGUGAGGGUCACACUGCAGCUUAAGCUCCGCUGCUCCGCUUAGGCAGCUCUCCGCCACCCACAAGUACAGCCCAAACUGACUUGCAUGUUCUGUAAAGCUCACGUCCCCGGCUGCCCGCCCCUGUCUGCCCUCCGUCUGCCUCACACCACCUCUGAGCCCCGCAGGGUGUGGACACCAAGUCUCUCCUCCUUCCCACCAGGGUACCCCAAAUGACAGAUGUGAAGGACCUGGACCCCAAGAGAGUAGUUUUGACCAGUCUGUUUGCCUGCCCUACCAGUUCUGCGAUGACAAAGGCAAAAGAGGGUGUUAAUCAUGUUUGCACCUUCAAGGCUAUUGCAGUGACUGGCACAUAGUAGGCACUCUAUUCAGCAGAGAGGGAGAAACCCCGAAGGUUUGUGAAUGGGGUGUGAAGUUGGACGUGGACAGAGAUGGGACUCUUAGGAUCCUGCUGCCCUUCUACAGAAUCACAGGGUGGCUCCAGCGAGGUGCCCUAUGCGGCUUUCACUUGCGGCAGGCCAAGCGUGUCCACACCGGGCAACUGGGUCUUCCCUAUAAUCCUAGAUAAACAUGCCUUUGCUGCUAGAUGUAUACCCAAAGCCAGAAGCUCAGAGCAAGGAGGCAUCUUUAAAGGGCAUAAAAAGCAAUAUACGACUGAGAUGCUGCUGUCUGUGUUCUAGGGUUGAACUGGGGCUCUCUGGCAAUUUCACAGCCUCCAGACCACCUCUGCUUGGAGGGAGUAGGGAAGUUAGUCUACUCCCAAAUCUGGGCUCUCAAGGCCUCCGGAGAGGCCCCUCCUGGCCUCCCACACCGUGGAGCCCUCUACAGGCAGUUGCAAAUAAAGGUCAUCUGAUUCGGCCACGUCUUGAAGGUCUGGGUUUUGACCUUGCUGGGAUUUAUUGACUCAGGUUAUCCAAACACGGAUUUCUAAAGACUAUAAGGUUUUUCUGAGUGUGUUCCCACCCCCUGCUCCUGCCUCUGACUAUUUAUAAAGCUCCAGCCCCAGUUUCUGAAGGCUCCCGACCUAGGGGUGGGCGUGGCGGUCGUUUCUGUACCUUCUAUUUACCUGUCUCUGCAGCUGCAGGAGACAAUGAGCAAACUCUCUUCCCAGAAGCAGGCUAUGGAGAUUCAGAAGCACAGAAGAGCUGUUUUAGCCAGAGCCGUUAAACUAUAGGAAGCUUUGCACAGAAAAGAAGAAAUAAAUCAAUGCUCGCUUAAGGAAAAUGAAGACCAAACUUUUCUGGAAAAACAAAAUGUGAUUUUCAAAUUAUCAGAGCUGGCUUUAGUAAUCACAGAGGGAAUUAAGCUCCUGGAAGCUCUUCACCGGGUGCCUGCUGGUAUCCUUGCCGGCUUAAAUCCCAGGUCACAUUAAUUACUGAUACCCGCAUUCUUUCCCUUUCCGUCUGACCCCAGCCACUUGCCUGCAUCCCAAUCUCCCUCCUUUUCUGUCAGCUGCAUCUGCUACUAUAUUACCAUUCAUAUAUGGGUAAGGUGGGGAAAAUCGGAGGAAACAAUGAAGGCUCAUUCCAAGACAUAUGCCAAUUCUUGCUUGAACCAUUAAAAUAGGCUUCUAACCCACCUCCCUGGCUCUAAUUUUGUCCCUCUUCAUCCUCCACACAGCUGCUGCUCCAGAUAUCUGUCUAAAAUGUAAAUUUGACGCUGGCUGAUGCUGGCAGCUCCAAGUGUCCUCAUUGUCCCAUGCAAGGUCUCCAGGAUUUAGCCCCGCCUCUUGCUCCUGUGAUUAAAUCGGCCACCAAAAAUACGGUAUGACUAGGUCUUCCUCCAUAAACCCAGGUUCCUAACACCAUGCCAGUCGCACUGCUUCCCUCUGAUCCGGUCUUCCAAAAGAGCUGAGAUCUAAGUCGGAAAGUAAAUAAAGGAGAGGAGAAAAGAGAAAAUCUGCUAAGAAAGGAUGUGCAAUGAGAGGGUGUAGCAGACCUUUUAUCACCUGGACAGGAUCCACGCAGGCAGCCUCCAAACCACAUCAAGGGAUUUUAAUUUCCUCACGGCUUUGUUAGCAUUUCACAUUGUUACAGGUCAAAACACAAGGUUAUUUACUAGGAAUGAGAAAUGUCAGUAAUAUGAAUUAUGGGAGCCCCAUGAUUUCCCUCCAGGUAUUCAGAACAACACGCAGUGCCUAUCAUCCUAGUGAGCUUAGCAUGGGCACUGACCUCCCCGGGAUCUUGAGAAUCAUGUGCUUGACUAAGGUCCGAUGAGAGGACAGCCAUCCUAGGCUGGGAAAUGCCAGUGCCUAUUGGAUUUGUUCAAGGAACCUCUUCCUGCAGGCUGCCAUUUUGUUCAAGAAAAUUCUGGAAGGUUCAAAUUCUAUUUCCUAGCCAAUAAGGGAGGGGAAUGAAGAUAUUUGUUCACUCAUUCAAAAAUCACCCAUUUGUCUUCUUACUCCUUUGAUGGUGAGCUCCUGCUGUGCAAAUACUAAUGGGAGAGAAUGUAUAUAGUGGUUUAUGUUUUAUCUUACCAUCUGCUUCCUGUUUCUAUCACCAUAAACUUAGCAAAGAGCUGGGGUAAAGAAGGCCAUGAUAAGGGAGGGAACCACAAGUUCUAAAGAAAAAAAAAGAUGCUUUCAGUAACUGUCAGAAAAAGAACAUUUUGGUUUUUUUUUUAAUUUUUUUUUAAUGUUUAUUUAUUUUUGAGAAGAGACAGGGAGCACUAACA